This 87-nucleotide transfer RNA is filed under the name Clavibacter michiganensis. Its description in RNAcentral is "tRNA-Leu". It matches the Rfam family "tRNA". From Rfam's summary of the family: Transfer RNA (tRNA) molecules are approximately 80 nucleotides in length. Their secondary structure includes four short double-helical elements and three loops (D, anti-codon, and T loops). The record is from RNAcentral. Lineage: Bacteria; Bacillati; Actinomycetota; Actinomycetes; Micrococcales; Microbacteriaceae. RNAcentral also lists the same sequence under 24 other names.
GCGCGAGUGGCGGAAUUGGUAGACGCGCACGGUUCAGGUCCGUGUGUCCGUGAGGACGUGGGGGUUCAAGUCCCCCCUCGCGCACCA